AUUUGAGCAAAUUUAUUGCUCAAUUGGAACGAUACAGAGAAGAUUAGCAUGGCACCUGCGCAAGGAUGACACGCAUAAAUCCUAUGGUGAUGAAAUGGUG
Molecule: small nuclear RNA, 100 nt
Organism: Salvia splendens (bonfire salvia)
Lineage: Eukaryota; Viridiplantae; Streptophyta; Magnoliopsida; Lamiales; Lamiaceae
Source: RefSeq, a predicted model, not a curated record